Molecule: non-coding RNA, 225 nt
Filed under: uncultured Spirochaetota bacterium
Lineage: Bacteria; Pseudomonadati; Spirochaetota
Source: RNAcentral
UGAUAGUAAGACGUCGCAGGUUUCCGUCCCGCCCCCUUUCAGCAGGGAAGCGGCGCGGAAUCAAAAGGGAAUCCGGCGAGAAUCCGGAACUGCCCCGCAGCGGUAUGCGAGAACGAACGCCGUUUAUGGCACUGGGAGCGCCACGCCCCUGGGAAGCUUCGGCUAGUAGGAAAAUGACAAAAGGGCUCGCGAGUCCGAAGACCUGCCUGCGAUCCGUCCUCAUCG